GACGAACGCUGGCGGCGUGCUCAACACAUGCAAGUCGAACGGAAAGGCCCUGCUUUUGUGGGGUGCUCGAGUGGCGAACGGGUGAGUAACACGUGAGUAACCUGCCCUUGACUGUGGGAUAACUUCAGGAAACUGGGGCUAAUACCGGAUAGGAGCUCCUGCUGCAUGGUGGGGGUUGGAAAGUUUCGGCGGUUGGGGAUGGACUCGCGGCUUAUCAGCUUGUUGGUGGGGUAGUGGCUUACCAAGGCUUUGACGGGUAGCCGGCCUGAGAGGGUGACCGGCCACAUUGGGACUGAGAUACGGCCCAGACUCCUACGGGAGGCAGCAGUGGGGAAUAUUGCACAAUGGGCGGAAGCCUGAUGCAGCAACGCCGCGUGCGGGAUGACGGCCUUCGGGUUGUAAACCGCUUUCGCCUGUGACGAAGCGUGAGUGACGGUAAUGGGUAAAGAAGCACCGGCUAACUACGUG
RNAcentral lists this ribosomal RNA (468 nucleotides) under uncultured bacterium. RNAcentral describes it as "partial 16S ribosomal RNA". It matches the Rfam family "Bacterial small subunit ribosomal RNA", at positions 28 to 507 of the family's 1533-position model. The record is from RNAcentral.